This 465-nucleotide ribosomal RNA is filed under the name Vreelandella stevensii. RNAcentral describes it as "partial 16S ribosomal RNA". It matches the Rfam family "Bacterial small subunit ribosomal RNA", at positions 338 to 795 of the family's 1533-position model. The record is from RNAcentral. Lineage: Bacteria; Pseudomonadati; Pseudomonadota; Gammaproteobacteria; Oceanospirillales; Halomonadaceae.
CCUACGGGGCGCAGCAGUGGGGAAUAUUGGACAAUGGGCGAAAGCCUGAUCCAGCCAUGCCGCGUGUGUGAAGAAGGCCUUCGGGUUGUAAAGCACUUUCAGUGGGGAAGAAAGCCUUGGGGCUAAUACCCUCGAGGAAGGACAUCACCCACAGAAGAAGCACCGGCUAACUCCGUGCCAGCAGCCGCGGUAAUACGGAGGGUGCGAGCGUUAAUCGGAAUUACUGGGCGUAAAGCGCGCGUAGGCGGUCUGAUAAGCCGGUUGUGAAAGCCCCGGGCUCAACCUGGGAACGGCAUCCGGAACUGUCAGGCUAGAGUGCAGGAGAGGAAGGUAGAAUUCCCGGUGUAGCGGUGAAAUGCGUAGAGAUCGGGAGGAAUACCAGUGGCGAAGGCGGCCUUCUGGACUGACACUGACGCUGAGGUGCGAAAGCGUGGGCAGCAAACAGGAUUAGAUACCCUAGUAGUC